CAGCAGCCACGGUAAUACGGAGGGUGCAAGCGUUAAUCGGAAUUACUGGGCGUAAAGCGUGCGUAGGUGGUUGUAUAAGUUAUCUGUGAAAUUCCUGGGCUCAACCUGGGCAGGUCAGAUAAGACUGUUGGACUCGAGUAUAGGAGAGGGUAGUGGAAUUUCCGGUGUAGCGGUGAAAUGCGUAGAGAUCGGAAGGAACACCAGUGGCGAAGGCGGCUACCUGGCCUGAUACUGACACUGAGGCACGAAAGCGUGGGGAGCAAACAGGAUUAGAUACCCCUGUAGUCCCUGUCUCUUAUAC
RNAcentral lists this ribosomal RNA (301 nucleotides) under uncultured bacterium. RNAcentral's name for it is "partial 16S ribosomal RNA". It matches the Rfam family "Bacterial small subunit ribosomal RNA", at positions 509 to 807 of the family's 1533-position model. The record is from RNAcentral.